GUGUCCCCCUCACUACAGUGCUCCUUCUUCUACCUCUGGACAGAGCCGAGCUCUCCAGCCCGUGCACAGUUGCCGCCGCCUCCUCCUUCCAAAUCUGGCCUCCCCGUUGCUCCUCUUUCCAAAUUAGUUGCGGGAAUGGAAUCCUAUCAAUCUCCUCUUCCUUUUCCCCAAGAAAUCCCCAAAAGUUUCUAUAGGAAAUCCUUUCCAAUUUCGCGGAUCAAUAUUUCCUUUUGCCGGCAAGGAUCCUAAACUUUCCCGGAGUUUCUUCCGUCGAUUUGGGCCCGGACCCGAGCUCCCGUGCCUAUAUAAAGCAUCCCCUCGUCGUCCUCUACCUAACCCCUCAAGUCCCGUCUUCCGCCGUCGCCGGAAUCGCUCUCCCCGGGCUCUCCUUCUCUCUCCAAGCGCCGGCGCCGCUCCAGCCGCAUCUCGCCGUCGCCUCGGCCGUCGCCGGUAGCGCCGCCACCUCCCUCGGCUCCGAAAAGUCGAUCUCUACCCCGGCCGCUUGUUAUUUUGCGCCAAAUCCCACCGGAGGUAGCCCGUCGUCGUGAACCGGAGCGCCGCCGUCGUCGCUGUGCCUCCAGCCGCGCCGUUCGUCGUCGUCCGUCGUCGCCUUCGGUCGCCGUCGUCUUCAUUGGAUUCGCAGCUGCAAGCAGAAGACCGUCCACCACCUCUUCUUCGCCAAAUAUUACCGGAACGCCGUCGCCGUCUUUGACCAGUACCUCGCCGCCUUUCCAAGCUCACUGCCGGCCGUCUGCUGUCUCAUCCAUCGUCGCGCCACCCCUCGCGUCGUCAUCGUCUCUGUGUGGUGUCGUCGGACCAUCGCUGGCUUCUUCUCCGGUCGCCGCCGUUUCCUGUUGAAGAAAAGUUGCAAAGGAGAAGACGUUUGGGUUAUACCCCAGUUGAGCUGCCUGUGGGAGUGGAGCUGGAUCUUCGCUAGACCUUUGUGUACCUCGGUUGAUUCCUGGACGAGGAUUUUAAUACACAAAUUAGUUCGGAAAUUACUAGUGAAUUUCUGGGCGUGACAUGUGUACCAGCUUUGCAACCGGGUGAUAAGGCAGUUCGGGAGGCGGCAAACAAUCCCGCAAAGAUUCUCUACAAGCAUCGAUCUCCAUAAGGUGGACAGAAGGAAAAACAAGAAGACCACCGAUUGGACUGCUUAUCAUCAGACACACAUCGAUCGAUGGGACCAGUUCAAAGCCAACCGCAUGCCGGAUAACGCAAUGCACAAUAGGCAAGAGUUCAACGCAUACUUAGCCUGGCUCGCGAGGAACUACCGCCUCGCCCUACGUCCGGCUUGGACGCUAGCCGACAUAGCGGACAACCUGACUGAGGUGGAGGAGUAGAACGAGUACGAUACAAGUACUCGUAGAGGUAGCACGGUCGAGACGGGUCCGGUUCGAGAUAGAGU
This is a non-coding RNA of Oryza sativa Japonica Group (Japanese rice), 1408 nucleotides long. NCBI's taxonomy places the organism in Eukaryota, Viridiplantae, Streptophyta, Magnoliopsida, Poales, Poaceae. The record is from RefSeq and is a predicted model, not a curated record.